UUUUUUUUUUUGGUUUUGUUGUAAAUGGUCAAAAGAGAAGUUUAAAAUUUUGCAUGUUUAAUAUUAGACCUAGCUAUUUAUAUGUAACAGUUAAAAUUAUUGAACUAUACUGAAUGUCUGUUCUAAGUUCUGUUUUGAUUAGUAAUGCCUCUUAACCCUAAUUCAGUGAUGGAUAUGGGUUAGAGGUGUUACAAUAACACUAACUACACUAAGAAUUAUAACUCUAAUGGUUUCAAUUGGUAAAAUUACUAAUGAAAUCAAGUAGUGGUCGGUUCUCUCUCUCGCUAAUGAUGGAUUUAUACCUAAAUAAUCUAAACACACGAUUAUUAGCCUAGUAACAUUCACCUCUCGGUCUCAAAUAACUUCUAGAAGCAUAAUGAAAUCUCCUCUUAGUCUCAUUCAAUUAAGCCUAACUAAAUCAUAUCUACUCGAUAGGGUGUCCUCUUGUCCUAUCUUAUCUCAAUUUUCACUCAAAGAUGUCAAUUUUGAGUUAUUGACAUAGUCAAUUUAACCCAAAGCAUACAUUCAAAUUAACAAAAGGCAUAAAAUCACAUCACAAGCGAUAAAUAUAACCAAUCGCAUAAAGAAAUUAGUUAAUUUCCAUGGAAAAUACAAAUACACAAUAAAAUUCCAUUCAAUUCAAUAUAAUGAAAUCAAAGGAAAAUUAAGAGUUUAAGAAAUACUCAUUAAAAUGAGAAAUCCUUAAAUUUGAGAAGUUCAAUGUAUUUCAUCCACAAAUAAUCUUGAUGGCCAACAAUAAAAAUAGCAAUUUAAAGUAGAAAAAUGAAAAACUCUGAAAUUUUGUCUAAAAAUUCUAACCUAGAAAUGUCUAUCAACAAAAACUAAUAAUAAAAUAUGUUGUCUAAAACUAAUCUCUCUUUUACGUCCUUAUUUGCUAAUUAUAAAGUGGUAUUUAUACUAAAAACCUAAAUAGCCAGCCAUUUACAUCAUUGCCCAUCAUAAAAUUAUCAUACUAAGGCAUUUUUUACUCAAUCUUCCACUAUUUACCCUAAUAAAGAUUGCAGAUUUUGACAGUUACGAAAGUUAUUGUUGCAAUGUGAGCUUUUUCUUUCCCAAUUCAGCUUAAGUCACCUGGUGGUUAUCACGACAAUGAGUUUUCCAGUUCAAUUCUUUGGCAAGUCAGAGGCUUCAUGGUUCUAACAAGGACAAGAUAUGGUCACGACCAUGGCUUAGUUGAGGGAACUCCUUAGUUAGCAAGGUCAUGGUCACAACAAGGAAUCCACACCUUACUUUUUUUCUAUUUGCAUCCCUCCAUUGAGUCUUACAAUGUUCUUUUCACAUCUUUAGGUCCAUGUAUGAAGGUAAUUAGUUUAUUUAUUCAAAAUACAAUAAAAAAACAUGUAAACUAAAUCCUAAUGCUAAUGCAAAAAGUAAUAAAAUGACUCUACAUGCUACUUGAAAACAAGCUCCUUAAGUGUGAAAAUGGUCUAAUUUACCACAUCAAAUUAUAAUGUAUCAAACUCAUCCGCACUUAAGUCUUUGCUUAUCCUCAAGCAAACAAUACACACACACAAAUGAUCCUCAAGUUUCGUUGAACAUUGAAAAUGUAAAAGACAUGUCUCACACCCAAAUUAAGAUUGUUGUCUUACUAAUUCAAAUACUUCAGACCAAGUUCACACAGUUCAAUAAGUUAAAAAGCCAACAAACAUAAAGGUAAUUCAAGUGAAUAUUUGCUCAAUUGUGUCAGUCCAUCAAGAUGAAUUAAAUAGUGUCAUUAUAGAUACUCAAGUAUAAAUCACAAACAUUCAUCAAUUCUAACAUGAAUAAUUCAGGAAAUUCAUACGAAAGGGAAUGUUUGUCACAUUACUCUUCUAGGCUUGUAACGUUUCGAGGCAUAGGAUGAUUUGAAUUAAAAAUAAAAGUUAGUUUAAAAUGAUUUCAAGCCCUAGAAAUAGAGAAGCUCGUGACAUUGUUCCGUUUUGUCCCUCGAUUUAUCAAUAAACUCACCUUCUUAUCAUUCUCUCUCCUUUUUUUUUCUUAAGUGAUUAAGACAUGGUUCAAUAUUGUCAAAUCUAAAAGCUAGAAAGUUUAUAUGCAUUAAGAAAGCUAAAGAAUUUCUUUAAGAUCAAGAAUAUUUUAUCAAUUUAUCAUAUUCUAACAUUUAUCUUCUUUCAUUCACAAUGAUUUCAAACCCUCGUCGUGCUUUUAUUCACUAAUGAAUUUUCAUUUAUGCACUUACAAGCAAAGUAUCUAUACCUACCAUAUUGAGUCAUUUCUUCAUUUUUCCACUCAUAUAAUUAUUUUGAAACCUACAAAAUGUAUCUACCUAAACCUUAAGGUCCAUGGCUCGAUGUCCAUUUUAUAGUACAAAAACAAAGAUAAUGACAAUGAAGGUUUUAGUUAUACACUCACUUUAGGCUUAAGGCUUCAAACAAUAAAGCUUCACCAAGAAAGAGGUAUAAAAGCUCAAACAUGGGACCUUGGGAUAACAUAGUGACAAGGUUGGCUCGAUUAGAUUCUAGCUAUACAAGUAAUGCCUUUGAUCAUCUCUAAACAUUUCACAAUUAUAUAAUUUUCAUCAUAUUCAACAUUUAAACAAAUAAAUAACAUGUGAUUCAAGCACUUAUUAUCUAAAAAUAUCAAUCCAAUACAUCUAUCAUAUGACACAAUUUCACACAAAUUCACAUCAAAAUAAUCACUUAUAGUCUAUUAGGCAAUUUUACACUAUUGAACUAAGCAACAUACUCCAAAGAACGCAAUUAACUACCAUCAAUCACAAUUCACAUCUCAAUUAUCAAUACAAGUUCAACAAUGAUCACCAAUAGACUAAGUCUCAUGUAACUCAAGCACCAUACAAAACACUAAAAAAAUUAAAAAAAAUUAAAAAUUUUUGCUAAAAACACAGAAAUAGCAAAAAUAAAAACACCCAACAAAUAAAAUAAAAACUUAUGCAAUCCCCCCCCCACACACUUAAGUUACACAUUGCCCCCAAUAACUAAAGAUAAAGUUUAAGGAAACUGCCUUUUUCCAAUUUUCGUACCAUAUUUAAAUAUGAAAAACUAUGCUCUUUAAGCACCUAAAGAGCUUGUUUUGAGGAAAUUAGUAGAGUACUUUAAUGUUUCCUGUACUUCGGAUAGAUUCCAUUUUUGUAUGCAAUUUGUGGUAUGUUUUAUGUUUUUUUUUCUAAGUGAAAUAGCCAUCAUAAUCAAUUAUGGACUUAUUUUUGGGACAAGGCUUUUGUAGGGACUUAGUUGAGGAGAGUGAAAAGAAAAUUGAACUAAUUGGAGUGGAAGUGGAAACAUCACUUAUGAAUGUUACGACAUUGUGCACCUUUCAUCAACCAAAGAGCCAACCUUCAACAAUUGAACCUCGAGUAGCCUAAUUUCAAGGUCGCGACAUUGGUUCUUAAUGUCAUAACACUGUAUAUUUUCCAAUGCAACAACCUCAUCAUACUCCAAGUUGUAAAUGGAGGCCACUGAAGUCAAGGCCGCAGCAUAGGCAUACAAAUGUCAAGACUAUUGGAACGCCGGCACCCCUACAGCGCAGCGAAAAAUAAAACACUCGGUGAUCCUAACCAUGAAUCCAAGUGUGAGGAAUGAAUCGAGGUAAAAAAGGGUUUCGAAAUUAUCGAAUGGUGAUUCUGAGUUGACAGCGACUCCUCGGCAACGAGUAAUCUGAUCUACUGUCGAACCAAGCCGUAAUCUUUGAUGACUCCGACCUCUACGUAAUCCACCCAAUUGACUAUGAACGGAAGGAAUCCCCAAACAGUUUUGGAGAAGACUUAGCUUUGACGGCUGCUAGACUCACUAAGCAAAGAAAACUGGGAUUUUAUAUCUUAUUAUUAUUUUUAGGGUUUCUCAAAAUUAAAUAAAUAAAUAUAAUAAUGUUUAAAAACUGAAAAUUAUAAUUACAUUAAUUAUAAUCAAUGUUUCGGUAAACUAUAUUUAUUUAUAUACGAACCAAAAUCAUAUUCUCAUUAUGUGUACAACAACCUUGUACAUAUAAUGUGUCCGAUAUUUGAUUAACCAAUUAAAUUAAUUCUAUAAUUAAUUUAAUUCAUGCGACAACCAAACACAAUACCAAUUAUGUUUUAUUCCGUUCAUUUCAACUAUAGGGUAUGAUCCUGUAGGUUCUUGUAACGUUAGCACUAAUGUUAGAACAAUUCCAAUGUUACAAACAAUGAGUGGCACCUAGCAAUGCAUCAUUGCUACCUAAGUCACAAGAAAUCAUUAUUCGACAUAACCUUUUUAAGAUUAAUCUUUUCAUAAUCCUUAAGUCCUUUAUCUCUGGAUUGAACAAAAGUCAUGGAAUAGUCACACUUGUAUAGUUCAUUCCAUGUUCAUUGAUAUCUUAAGUAGACUAUGAGAUAUAAAUAAGUAUGACAUCUCAUAUCAGCUUAUUUGAGCAUGACCAUGCAUUUCUAGUCUCACUCAAUCAAGUUGCCUAAGAUAUUACUCCCAUUAUAUAGGAGGGACUUAUCCUAAAUCGACCAGCCAUAUCCCUCUACAUAGAUUGUGCUAUAUCCAACAUCAACCUUUAUAGAACAACCAGUUACGGUGUACGUUUAACUGUAUAAAAAUAUACAACUCACGAUGUUGGGAUUAUGAUGAUUCAAGUCUGAGGAUCAUAUACAUAUUAAUCACUAUGAUUAAUGUCGUGACAAUUACAUAAUAAUCCAAGAAACAUACUUAUAACGGGUCAGUCCAAUAUGUUGUUCUCUAACACACAUAUUCAUGAAUCGAUUCUGACAUUCCAUAUCAAUGACAACUCUUUAUCAUCAAUCAACUACAUGUUAGUCUUAAUACAUUAUCGUUGCCCUAUCUAACAAUAAUACUUGACUAAGAAACUUUUAAGAAUAAUCAUAUUAUUCUCAGGACAUUAUUAUAAAAUAGUUUAUUUAUACACACAGAAAAGAAACUGAAAUAAUAAUGGUAACGUCUAAUAUUAAUAAACAUGAUAAAUCAAGUAUGUUAUUACAACCAUCUCAUGAUUGAUCUUUGGGCAUACUCUAACAAAGACAUCAACACCAACUUGAAGUAGUCACGACAUAGGGUGAUUUGGAGCAAUAUAGGGACUUGCUCGAUGAAGAGGUUGUGGCAUCAAGCAUGGAUGUUGCGACAUUGAAGCCUAACGAGGUUAUUACUAAAACAAAAACUUGAAGGCAAAAUGGGGUCAAAAAAUUUACAAAUCAUUUUUUUAAGUGGGGUUAUUUUUGUAAAUGUUAGGUAAAGCCCUUAAAACCUAUAAAAACUAAUUUUAUUAGACUUUUUGAAAGAGAAAAAUUAGGUUAGUUAUUUUAUGGAUAAAAAUAUUCUUUUCUAACUUUUAAUUGUUUUUCAAUAAAAUAGUACAAGGACCAAUUUGUAGGUUACUUAUUCUACAUAAUUUCUUUUUCAAUUUUAUGUUUUUGGUAUUAAAUUGAAGGGUUCUAUUAUGAAAUGCAAUUUGUUUUUCAUUAAAAUUAAGGAUUUCAACAAAAAUACUAAGCAUUUCUAAACUUUUCAACUUCAUCCUUUUAAUUGAUUGAUUGUAUAAAUGAAUUGUUAUUUUAAUUGCAUAAUGGGCAUGAAAUGAAUCCUUGAGUGAUUGGUUGAUUGAAUUGUUAGUUUAUGAAUUUUAGUUCUAGGGACUAAAUUGAAAAAAAUAGUAAACUUAGAAUUAACGCCUCUAAGUGAAAAUCUAGAUAGAUAAGACUAAAAGAAGACCUUAUCGAGUAAUGAUUCAUUUAGUUCAUUUUAAUCAAAUGAGACCGAGAGGGUAAUUUGGUUAGAUUUCUCAUUUGGAUUAAAUUGGGACCAGGAGGUGAGAUUUAGUUAAACGAGAAAAUUGGUAAUUUAAGUUUCUUAUGUCUAAGUUCAUAGCUAAGAUGGAAAUCAUCCAAUCACUAUUGUUUCUCAAUUCUUAAUUUCAUAAAUUGAAUAUUUUUCACGUUUAUUCCUUUUAUUUAAGAAUUUUUAGACACUUAUCAUUUUCUUGAUUUCUGUACUAAUUAGUCACUUUAGCAGCCUAGUAGACUUUCCCAUGCAUGUAUUCUUAUUCGUAGCAUUUUAAUUAUGCAUUCUCCUUUGGGCUUGAUCCUUGAAAUAUUGUGUUCCAUAGUAAGAUCUUUAUUACAACUCAAUAUGUGACACUUGUAAACACCACACUUUACUUUUAUACAUCUAUUUUGCAUUGCUCAAUGUACACAUGCUAAAGUGCAAUCAAGUUGUUGAUCAACUUACAUUUUUCUACAUCUAUUUGAGAUUUAUAGGUUACUAGGAAUGAUUGUCUAAGAGAAUAGGAAUGUCUACUUCUUCUUUGAAAUUCAACACAAUAAAGCCAACGAGAAGAAUAAAAUGCCUAACCCGAACUAAGAUAUCCUUAAGGAUACCUUUAAGAUGACUAAAGAACUAUAUACUAAUUGGAGUGUGACGAUGUAGGACAUAACUCACAUAAUUCUAAUCAUUGAUAAAUGGACAAGGGCAUCAAAUUUAUGCUAGCCCUUAAGUUACAUAAAGCUUUAAUUUACCCCUCAUAUUUCUAUUAGAAUUGUAAAGCUCCCAGGUUUUUAACUUAAGAAAAUGAUAGCACUACAAUUAGCACUCACUGGUAUUUUCUCCUUUUUACCAAUCUUCUUAUGCUUAGACACAAUGUCAUGAAGAAACUUGGCAUACUUCGACAUUUUCUCAAAUAGCUCAAGAAGACCUAAAUUAAAACUAGGUUCACUUAACCAAACCAUACUUAUACAACAUACCAGGUGAUCAGUAAUUGGCAUGUCCCAAUCUCUUGUGCCACAAGUUAGUACCAUCAGUUAAACUAGAAUAGGCUUUAAAGGUAACUGAGUUUCAAUUUAGAACAAAGCUCGUACCAUUCAUAUUUACUAACAUAAGCUUGUGACCAAUUGAAUCAGAUACAACACAUUUAUUCUAUUCAAAAACAACAAAAUAAUUCUUCUCAAUAAGUUGACCAACACCGAGCAAGUAUUGACCUAAUCAUCAGUAAUAACUUUUGUACCUACAGAAGUGUUAACCUGAACAUCUCCCAUUCCCUUGGCUUCAAUGAUCUGGCCAUUUCAAACUCUGAUUCUCGAACUGAAUAAUCUAUCAAUCUCCUUGAACAUGCUUUCAUCUGAAACCAUAUGGUUUGUACAACCACUAUCAAUCAACUAGUUUUUCUUGUCUUGGUUGUUGACUGUGAAGCAUGAAGCAGUGAAUGUGAGCUCCUCCUAAGCUUGAUUUUCUUCAGCACUUGAGCCUGAUUAGACUACUAUUGUUGUUACUGUACUUUGUUUUUAUAAAUUCUAAAAUCGUGGCCAAAUUGCUUACAGUUUUUACACUGUGCACCAAUUUUUAUCCAACAAAACUUUUAUGAAUGACCCAUCUUUUUGCAAUUCGAUCAUGGUGGAUACUUUUUCUUUCCACCAUCUCUUUUUUGCCUUUCUCUUGCUUGAUUCCUUUUCUUCUUGCCUUUGUUUCUUGAAGAGCAUGGAGUUUCCUUGUUUCUCGCUUGGUAAGCACCUUCUACGUGAAAGACAUCAGUAAUAACUUUUGUACCUAUAGAAGUGCUAACCUAAACGUCCCCAUUUCCCUUGGCUUCAAUGAUCUGGCCAUUUCCAAGUCUGAUUCUCAAACUGAAGGAUAUGUCAAUCUCCUUGAACAUGCUUUCAUCUGAAACCAUAUGGUUUGUACAACCUCUGUCAAUCAACCAUUUUUUCUUAUCUUGGUUGUUGAUUUUGAAGCAUGAAGUAGUGAAUUCGAGCUCCUCCUGAGAUUGAUUUUCUUCAGCACUUGAGCCUGAUUAGACUGCUAUUGUUGCUGCUGCACUUUGUUUUUACAAAUUCUAAAAUUGUGGCCAAAUUGCUUACAAUUUUUACGCUACACACCAGGUCUUGUCCAGUAAAACUUUUCUAAAUGACCCAUCUUUUUGCAAUCCAAGCAUGGUGGAUACUUUUUCUUUUCACCAUCUCUUUUUAGCCUUUCUCUUGCUUGAUGCCAUUUCUUCUUGCCUUUGUUGCUUGAAAAGCAUAGAGUUUCCUUGUUUCUCACUUGGUAAGCACCUUUUGUGUGCCCUUCUUCUCUGCUAGCUCUUCUUUGCUCCGCGCAUAUAGAGCAUUUAUGAGCUCUGAUAGAGAGAUAGUUGUUAAAUCUCUCGUGUCCUCCAAGGAUAAGAUCUUGGACUUAUACUUCUUUAGCAGUGUUGUGAUGACUUUUUCAACAACCCUUCGAUCACUAAACUGAUCACCAAGAAACGUUAUGUUGUUGACAAUGGACAUGAUCCUAUCUGCAUACUGCUUGAUCAUUUCAGUUUCCUUUAUCUUCAAGUUCUCAAAGUCUCUCCUCAAAUUCAACAAUUGUUGUUGUCUUGUCUUCUCAAUCCCCUAGAACUCCUCCUUCAACUUAUCCUAGGCUUGUUUGGGAGUUUCACAAGCCAUAAUUCUCGUGAAAAUAACAUCAGACACACCAUUCUGAAGGCAAGACAAAGCCUUAUACUUCUUAGCAGCGUUAUCGCUAUACUGUCUAAUUUGAGCUAUCGUUGGAUUAACUUACAAAGGUGGUGGUUCUCUGUUUGAAACAACAACUUCCCACAAGUCAUAUGCCUAAAGAUACAUCUUCAUCUUCACUACCCAAAUAUGGUAGUUUUCUCUAGAAAAGAUAGGAGGUGGAGGUGGUGUAAAGCUUCUAGAUGACAUUGCAAUACAAACAAGAUACAAACAACACUUUGUGUUCAACAAGAAAAACACUUAGAAGUUCCUCUAAGGCUAAGGCUUUCUAUACCAAUUGUUAGAGUUUAGAGAAGUUGAGAGAACAAAAUAUUGAGAAAACAAAGAAAAAUACAUAGCAUAAUUUUUUUACUGCUAUCAAAUUUUCUCAUCUUUUUUUCAUUCAACAAGAAAUACAAUAUAUAUACGGGUGUAGUGAUUACACGUAAGUCAACUACCCCACUAAUACACCUUAAAAAUACAAAAAUAUAACUUGUACAUAAAUUGAUUAGGUAAAAGUCAGAACUUAAAAGGUUAAAUCAAUACUAACUCUGCUUAUCUAACAAGUGAUCUUAGCAAGUAGACUAAUAAAAAAAAAUCAUCAUCAGCAUAUGCGAACCCUUCUUAAAAUACGUCAGGUGGUUCGCCAACAACAUAUAAUAGCUCACACUUUGAUGAGCUCGCAACAUUAGUUGAGCUCGCAACCAUAGAGCUAGCAGACUUGCUUGAGCUCGCAGCUACAUAGGAAGAGUUCACCACUACAUGAAUGGCCACUUCGGAAUAGAGGAAAAGAAAUUAAGAAAAAGAACAUGUAAGCAUAGGCGGAGCAGGCAGGGACAGAAAUGAAAUUUUGCAAUUUUAGCUCCUUUAUAAUUUAUAAAUUUUAAAUUAGUAUAUGAUAAAAUUGUACAUCGACACUAAAAAAUAUAACAUUUUUAUUUGUUCCUUUAAAAUUUAUAAAGAUAUAGACUAUUAAAAAGGUAAAAUUAUAUUUUUGUUAUCAUAAAAAUAUAUUACUUAAUUCCAACUCUCAAAAAAAAUUACUUUACCUAUGUAUAUAAGUGUAAUUAAUUACAAGCUAACUGAAACAUUAAGUAAUAUUAAAAUAUAAAUUAACAAAGAUAAUCUAUUAUAUUGUAUAUAAGUUUAAAGGCUUAUUCGGGUAGCAAGUAAAUUUAAUUGGCUUAUUUGAAUGUAAUUAAAGUAUAAAGACUUUAUUUAAAUAAGAUAACAACAUUCAAGGGCUUAUUUAAUAUAUUAGCCAUUAUUGGAUUUAUAUUUCAAAUAUUGAUACCUAUAAAUUUAGAGUGAGUAUUUAUUACAUUAGUAAUAUACUUUUUUUUAUUUUACAAUUAACCUUAAAAAUUGACAUGUAUUUUUUUAAAAUAUAUAUUUUUUAAUAAUUUAUUAUACUCUAUAGGACACUUAUCAAUCUCUUAACCCUACUUAUGGAGUUUAAAAACUCCAAUAACAAUGUACCAAAUAUUUUCUUAUAAAUUUAUGUUUUAUUAGUGAAAUAAACGAUUACAGGUAUUGUAUUUUUUUUUAAAUUAAUAAUUUUGAUGCACUGGUGGUGGAAACUUUUAACUCUACAACUGGAUUAAGAUUUUGUCAUGUUUCCUUAAGUUGUAUUUAAAAUUUUUUAAAAUAAAUAAAUAUGACAUGUGGCAAAAUCUUAACCGCACUUAUGGAGUUAAAAAUUUACAUCACAUGUGCGCCAAAUAAUUACUCAUAAUAUAUUAUCAUGUAAUUUAUGGGUUAAUAUUUGGUAAACUCAAAGUGUUAUGUUUUUUUUAAUAUUUUAUUAAACAUUUCUAUAUGACACUUGUCAACCCAUUGGCCUUACUUGUGGAGUGUAAAAACUUAACUAUUAGUGUACCAAAUAUUUUCCCGUAAUUUAUUGAUAGUGUAUAAAAUUAUACAAUAUUAUUAUAUUAAGGGAUAGUAUUUAAUACAAUUUAUUGAUAGUGUACUUUUUUUUAUUCCUCAAGUAGCUUUAAAAAAUUGACAUAUGUCCCUUUUUUAAUAUUUUACUAUAACCAUGAAGGACAUUUGUCAACUCUCUGACUUUACUCAUGGGGUCUAAAAACUUUAUUAAUUGUGUACCAAAUUAUUUUCAUUAUAUUAAAUAUAACCCUUACCUAAAUAAUAUAAACAAUGGGUGAAUAUGAUAUCCAUUCAAAUUGCAUUAAUAGCUCGCAACAUAUUCGAAAUUUAAAUAUGAGUAUUGUGUUGUUUUAUUUCCCAAAAAAACAGGCGAAUAUUGGGACGUACACGUAUGAUACUAAAAAUAUUGGGUGAAUGAUAGUAUUUCUUUUUCUUUUUCUUUUUUUUUUUUGAGAAAAAAUGGCAAUAUUUAAAAGAGAGACAAAUUGUAUAAAUUAGAUUUUAUUAAGUGCUUAUUUGGUCCUCUAAUUUUAUAUAAAAAAUUAUUUUAACUCUUCAUUUGUUUUUUUUACUUUUUGUAGUCCUUAAAGUUUUUUUUGUCGUCCUUAAACCAAGUUGGUUUGUUUACUUUUGUUUUUUCGUUAAAAAUAUCGCUUUACCUUAAAAAAAUAUUAUGAUUAAACUAAAUACUAAUUAAAAAAGGUAAGGCAUACUGGCAACUUUAGCCCAUAGAUCUUUCAUUUAUUUGUCAAUUUAGUCCUUUUUUUAAUUAAAUUUGACCCUCAAUUUUUUAAAAAGAAUCAAAUUUAAUCAUUAAUCUUUUAAAAAGAAUUGAAUUGAUUUUUUAAUAGAAAUACUAACUAACAUGUUAAAUUUUUAAACAUUGCAGCCCACAUUGCAAUCUAAAUGUACAUCAUGCUAUUUUUUGAAUUUUUAUGAAGCUUUUAUCCUCUCUUUUUUUCUUGAAUAUUUUUGUAACUUUUAAAAUAUUUGUUGACAUGUAUAUAUGACAAACAGUUUCAUGUCAAAAAAGGUGCACGUAGACUACCACACAAGUUGACACAUCAAAAUCAUUAAAGAAUAUUUUAAUCAACAUUUUUAUUAAAAAACAACAUUUAAUUCUUUUUUGAAAGAUUAACAGCUAAAUUUAACUUAAAAUAAUAAUAAUAAUAAUAAUAAUAAUAAUAAUAAUUAAAGUGGAAAAAAACUGUAAAACUAAAUUUAUCACUAUCCCGAAAGUUAAUGCUACAAACUAUCAUACACUCAUCCUUAUUAUUUUUGGAUUUAAAUAGAAGUGCAUCAAUAAACCGAGAUAUUAUUUUGUAGAUUAUUCCUACCACGUCAAUCAUGAUUGAUAUUCAAUAGUCAUGUAAAAAUAUUUUUCCACAUCAACUUCCUCCUUGGCCUAUUACUUUCUUCUUCUUCUUUUUUCUCUUCCUACCUGCAACCUUUGUUCCCCACAUUCUUUUCUUGCGAAGCCAAAACAACUACGAAACAAGUGACGAAGAAGAGUUUGAAGAAGAAGAAAAUGGGUAGGAUGGAGACCCCAUGGCUACCACGCCACUUAUAAGACCCAAGUCGAGAUCUGGUAAUUGGACGUCGAACGACAAUAAUCACUUAACCAGCUCCUUUUUUCACAUUGCUCAUUUGGGGUUUUUUAGUUUUAAAAUUUGUUAAGUAACUAAAUCUUUUGAAUCUGUUGAUUUUGGGAUUUUCUAUUUCUUUUAUGAACAGAUUUAGAGAAUCAAAUGGAGGGAAAUGUUUAUUCCAACAUUAAAAAAUUACUAUUUUUUAAAUAAGAAAAUAUUGCUACUAUUCUUGAAAUUGUAUUUGAAUGUUUGAUUAUUAUGUUCUCUUGUUUGUCCAAAAGGGGAUUUUUAUUUUAUGAAUGCCGUUGAUUAAAACUGUAGGAGAAAGUAACGAUCCGAUUACUUUAGCCAUGUUAGAUGAAGAAAAUAUAUGCUUAAAUGCUUUUUUCAUCAUUUAAAAUCUGGGUAGGCAAGAAGGAAGGUGAGUAAGCCGGCAAUAUAUUUUAGUGAUGUGUAAAAAUAUUCUUACACGGUAAUUCAUUAUUAAUGGUCUAUAUAAUAAUUAUUAAGGAGUUGGAAUGGAUUUUUUUUUAUACCUACAAACGUAAAUAAACCAAGAAAAAAAGUGCGCAUUGCAUGCUUGUAUAUUUCAACAAAAAAAUUAUAUUAUAUCUCCAACAUUAAGCAAGUUCUUCUUCACCUCACAUUUGUUCACCCAUAAUGGGAACAUCGGUGUAUCUUUUAUUGAUAACUGUGAUCCAACCAAAAGAAAAAGUAGGAGAUUGAUAUAUUAGUAGAAUAAGACGUAGCGACAUAUAUGCAUCAUAGUUGAAAGGGAUACAGGGAAACCAUACGUAUAACAAAAAGCAAAGAAACAGAUAAGAGUCCACAAAAGUAGCAACCUUUACGAUUCGAAUAAUGAAUAGGGCGUUUAUUGUCAUAGAUAGGUUGAUAAACAUCAACCUAUCUACAGUAAGGGCUAUUACCCUUACAAUUUUUGUUAUGAUUAUCUGGGUUUGGUGGUGGAAGACAAUUCGAAUAACUAGGACCGCAGUCCUUUUGCUUUACCGCUGGCUUAUCCUUUGUAAGCGUGCUGUAUAUUUUACCGACAGUUUUAUCGACCCCGAGGAUUCUGAUAACGGUAGAAUCUAUCAUCAACAAAUCCAGCUCCGACUCCAAUUCUUCCCGGAUCCCGCAGCCGCCGAGAAAGCCAUUGCACUGGUAAGUGGCGUUGCUCCUCAGUACUAGGACGGCGUCUCUGCCGCUAAUUGGUUUUAGGAGAAUCAUCAUCAUCACUAACCCCACCAACUCACGAAACCCCAUUUUCUUUUUCCUUUGUUUCCCCUCGCCCUGGAAUGGGAAAGCGCGGCCUGCUCACUUUAUAGAGGGUAGAGGAAAGAUUAAUUAAUUAUUGGAGGCUAAUAUAUUUAACAAGUCCUUGAACUUUAUUACUUUAUUUUAAUAAGCCCUCAUACUUUUGUUCCAUCCAAAUAAACCUUUAGAUUUCAAUUAGUACCUAAAUUUAGUCACUUUAUUUAAAUAGGCUUUUAUACUUUC
This 13392-nucleotide long non-coding RNA is filed under the name Gossypium raimondii (Peruvian cotton). RNAcentral's name for it is "long non-coding RNA (GRAI_LNC000649)". Lineage: Eukaryota; Viridiplantae; Streptophyta; Magnoliopsida; Malvales; Malvaceae. The record is from RNAcentral.